ACGGUAGAUAGGGAACAAACUGCCUCAAGACGUUCUUAACCCAGCUCACG
RNAcentral lists this ribosomal RNA (50 nucleotides) under Plasmodium yoelii. Lineage: Eukaryota; Apicomplexa; Aconoidasida; Haemosporida; Plasmodiidae. The record is from RNAcentral.